CCUACGGGAGGCAGCAGUGGGGAAUAUUGCACAAUGGGGGAAACCCUGAUGCAGCGACGCCGCGUGAGUGAAGAAGUAUUUCGGUACGUAAAGCUCUAUCAGCAGGGAAGAAAAUGACGGUACCUGACUAAGAAGCCCCGGCUAACUACGUGCCAGCAGCCGCGGUAAUACGUAGGGGGCAAGCGUUAUCCGGAUUUACUGGGUUUAAAGGGAGCGUAGACGGCAGCGCAAGUCUGGAGUGAAAUCCCAUGGCUUAACCAUGGAACUGCUUUGGAAACUGUGCAGCUAGAGUGCAGGAGAGGUAAGCGGAAUUCCUAGUGUAGCGGUGAAAUGCGUAGAUAUUAGGAGGAACACCAGUGGCGAAGGCGGCUUACUGGACUGUAACUGACGUUGAGGCUCGAAAGCGUGGGGAGCAAACAGGAUUAGAUACCCCUGUAGUC
Molecule: ribosomal RNA, 440 nt
Filed under: uncultured bacterium
Lineage: Bacteria
Description: partial 16S ribosomal RNA
Rfam family: Bacterial small subunit ribosomal RNA
Source: RNAcentral